Molecule: long non-coding RNA, 211 nt
Organism: Empidonax traillii (willow flycatcher)
Lineage: Eukaryota; Metazoa; Chordata; Aves; Passeriformes; Tyrannidae
Exons: 2
Source: RefSeq, a predicted model, not a curated record
GAAGGCUGCGGCGCGCGCGGGAGGAGCGUCCCCGUCGGGAUCCCUUCGCGCUGACGGGUCAGAGAAGAGCCGGUGCCCUUUAAGUGCCAAGCCGAGGUCUCCCACGCUGCGGUGCCAGAGGACUCGGAACAGUAAGGCAGCUGCUGUCCCUGAAUGGUUGCUCCUUGCUUGCAUGUACACUGGGCUGACUCCAACCAUUUUCUCCCUUCUC